CUGAAUCAGUGUGUGUGUUAGUGGAAGCGUCUGGAAAGGCGCGCGAUACAGGGUGACAGCCCCGUACACAAAAAUGCACAUACUGUGAGCUCGAUGAGUAGGGCGGGACACGUGGUAUCCUGUCUGAAUAUGGGGGGACCAUCCUCCAAGGCUAAAUACUCCUGACUGACCGAUAGUGAACCAGUACCGUGAGGGAAAGGCGAAAAGAACCCCGGCGAGGGGAGUGAAAAAGAACCUGAAACCGUGUACGUACAAGCAGUGGGAGCCUCUUUUAUGGGGUGACUGCGUACCUUUUGUAUAAUGGGUCAGCGACUUAUAUUCUGUAGCAAGGUUAACCGAAUAGGGGAGCCGAAGGGAAACCGAGUCUUAACCGGGCGUUAAGUUGCAGGGUAUAGACCCGAAACCCGGUGAUCUAGCCAUGGGCAGGUUGAAGGUUGGGUAACACUAACUGGAGGACCGAACCGACUAAUGUUGAAAAAUUAGCGGAUGACUUGUGGCUGGGGGUGAAAGGCCAAUCAAACCGGGAGAUAGCUGGUUCUCCCCGAAAGCUAUUUAGGUAGCGCCUCGUGAAUUCAUCUCCGGGGGUAGAGCACUGUUUCGGCAAGGGGGUCAUCCCGACUUACCAACCCGAUGCAAACUGCGAAUACCGGAGAAUGUUAUCACGGGAGACACACGGCGGGUGCUAACGUCCGUCGUGAAGAGGGAAACAACCCAGACCGCCAGCUAAGGUCCCAAAGUCAUGGUUAAGUGGGAAACGAUGUGGGAAGGCCCAGACAGCCAGGAUGUUGGCUUAGAAGCAGCCAUCAUUUAAAGAAAGCGUAAUAGCUCACUGGUCGAGUCGGCCUGCGCGGAAGAUGUAACGGGGCUAAACCAUGCACCGAAGCUGCGGCAGCGACACUGUGUGUUGUUGGGUAGGGGAGCGU
RNAcentral lists this ribosomal RNA (923 nucleotides) under Escherichia coli. Its description in RNAcentral is "partial 23S ribosomal RNA". It matches the Rfam family "Bacterial large subunit ribosomal RNA", at positions 312 to 1239 of the family's 2925-position model. Lineage: Bacteria; Pseudomonadati; Pseudomonadota; Gammaproteobacteria; Enterobacterales; Enterobacteriaceae. The record is from RNAcentral.